AGAGUUUGAUCAUGGCUCAGAACGAACGCUGGCGGCGCGUUUUAAGCAUGCAAGUCGAACGGUAGUCCGGUGCUUGCACCGGAUGAGAGUGGCGCACGGGUGAGUAACACGUAGGUGAUCUACCUCUGGAUUGGGGAUAGCCUGUGGAAACACAGGUUAAUACCGAAUACGACCCUGAGACUGUCGUCUUAGGGGGAAAGGCCCUCAGGGGUCGUCCGGAGAUGAGCCUGCGGUCCAUUAGCUGGUUGGUGUGGUAAUGGCGCACCAAGGCGACGAUGGAUAGCCGGCCUGAGAGGGUGAACGGCCACACUGGGACUGAGACACGGCCCAGACUCCUACGGGAGGCAGCAGCUAAGAAUCUUCCGCAAUGGGCGAAAGCCUGACGGAGCGACGCCGCGUGAACGAAGAAGGCCGUGAGGUUGUAAAGUUCUUUUCCUGGGGAGGAAUAAGGCCUGGAGGGAAUGCCGGGCUGAUGACGUGAACCAGGGAAUAAGCCCCGGCUAAUUCCGUGCCAGCAGCCGCGGUAACACGGAAGGGGCAAGCGUUGUUCGGAUUUAUUGGGCGUAAAGGGCGUGUAGGCGGCAGUGCAAGUCUGGUGUGAAAUACCCCGGCUCAACCGGGGAGACGCGCCGGAUACUGUGCUGCUUGAGUUUAGGAGGGGGAGCUGGAAUUCCUGGUGUAGGGGUGAAAUCUGUAGAUAUCAGGAAGAACACCGGAGGCGAAGGCGAGCUCCUGGCCAUAGACUGACGCUGAGGCGCGAAAGCGUGGGGAGCAAACAGGAUUAGAUACCCUAGUAGUCC
RNAcentral lists this ribosomal RNA (800 nucleotides) under uncultured bacterium. RNAcentral's name for it is "bacterial SSU rRNA". It matches the Rfam family "Bacterial small subunit ribosomal RNA", at positions 8 to 796 of the family's 1533-position model. The record is from RNAcentral.